RNAcentral lists this ribosomal RNA (468 nucleotides) under uncultured bacterium. RNAcentral's name for it is "partial 16S ribosomal RNA". It matches the Rfam family "Bacterial small subunit ribosomal RNA", at positions 28 to 507 of the family's 1533-position model. The record is from RNAcentral.
GACGAACGCUGGCGGCGUGCUUAACACAUGCAAGUCGAACGGAAAGGCCCUGCUUUUGUGGGGUGCUCGAGUGGCGAACGGGUGAGUAACACGUGAGUAACCUGCCCUUGACUUUGGGAUAACUUCAGGAAACUGGGGCUAAUACCGGAUAGGAGCUCCUGCUGCAUGGUGGGGGUUGGAAAGUUUCGGCGGUUGGGGAUGGACUCGCGGCUUAUCAGCUUGUUGGUGGGGUAGUGGCUUACCAAGGCUUUGACGGGUAGCCGGCCUGGGAGGGUGGCCGGCCACAUUGGGCCUGAGAUGCGGCCCAGACUCCUACGGGAGGCAGCAGUGGGGAAUGUUGCACAAUGGGCGGAAGCCUGAUGCAGCAACGCCGCGUGCGGGAUGACGGCCUUCGGGUUGUAAACCGCUUUCGCCUGUGACGAAGCGUGAGUGACGGUAAUGGGUAAAGAAGCACCGGCUAACUACGUG